Molecule: ribosomal RNA, 440 nt
Filed under: uncultured bacterium
Lineage: Bacteria
Description: partial 16S ribosomal RNA
Rfam family: Bacterial small subunit ribosomal RNA
Source: RNAcentral
CCUACGGGUGGCAGCAGUCGAGAAUCAUUCACAAUGGGGGAAACCCUGAUGGUGCGACGCCGCGUGGGGGAAGAAGGUUUUCGGAUUGUAAACCACUGUUCUUGGUGAAGAUAAUGACGGUAACCAAGGAGAAAGCUCCGGCUAACUACGUGCCAGCAGCCGCGGUAAUACGUAGGGAGCAAGCGUUGUCCGGAUUUACUGGGUGUAAAGGGUGCGUAGGCGGUCUUGCAAGUCAGACGUGAAAACCACAGGCUCAACCUGUGGACUGCGUUUGAAACUGUGGGGCUUGAGUGAAGUAGAGGUAGGCGGAAUUCCCGGUGUAGCGGUGAAAUGCGUAGAGAUCGGGAAGAACACCAGUGGCGAAGGCGGCCUACUGGGCUUUAACUGACGCUGAGGCACGAAAGCAUGGGUAGCAAACAGGAUUAGAUACCCCAGUAGUC